AGUCUUUGAACGCAAGUUGCGCCCUAAGCCUUCCGGCCGAGGGCACGUCUGCCUGGGUGUCACGCGUCGUCGCCCCCCGCAUCCCACGAUGUUGCGACGGUGGGCGGAUAUUGGCCUCCCGUGUGCCCGCGUGCGCGGUUGGCCUAAAUUCGGACCCUCGGGGACGCUCCCCGCGACGAUCGGUGGCGUUCGAAAUGGAACCUAGUGAUCCCGUCGCAUGGCCGCGUUCUUCCGAUAGAAGGGCUCCUCGACCCUCGAGGGCGGGCGAAGGCCCGCUCGUUUCGCGACCCCAGGUCAGGCGGGAUCACCCGCUGAGUUUAAGCAUAUCAAUAAGCGGAGGAAAAGAAACUUACCAGGAUUCCCCUAGUAACGGCGAGCGAACCGGGAAGAGCCC
This 394-nucleotide ribosomal RNA is filed under the name Semecarpus reticulatus. RNAcentral describes it as "eukaryotic LSU rRNA". The stretch from base 285 to 394 matches the Rfam family "Eukaryotic large subunit ribosomal RNA", at positions 1 to 110 of the family's 3401-position model. Lineage: Eukaryota; Viridiplantae; Streptophyta; Magnoliopsida; Sapindales; Anacardiaceae. The record is from RNAcentral.